GACGAACGCUGGCGGCGUGCUUAACACAUGCAAGUCGAACGAUAAAGAAGAGCAACGCGAACUUCGGUUCAAGUUUCACUUCUGAUUAGUGGCAGACGGACGAGUAACGCGUUAGCAACCUACUUCUUACAACGGGAUAUCCUCGGGAAACCGUGCUUAAUACCAUAUGACACAUUCAUAAGGCUUCUUCAGAAUGUUAAAGCUACGGCGGUAAGCGAUGGGCUCGCGUCCCAUUAGCUAGGUGGUGAGGUAACGGCCCACCAAGGAGACGGUGGGUAACCGGGAUGGGAGGGUGACAGGUCGCAUUGGAACUGAGGCACAGUCCAAACUCGUAGGGGAGGGAGCAGUAGAGAGUAUUGCAGGAUGGAGGGAGCUGUGAUACAGCGGCGCGGCGUGAGAGAUGAAGGGAUUCGUAACGUAAAGCUGUGUUUGAUGAGGAGAAAAGGACGGUACCAUGGGAGAAAGCACCGGCUAAAUACGUG
Molecule: ribosomal RNA, 482 nt
Filed under: uncultured bacterium
Lineage: Bacteria
Description: partial 16S ribosomal RNA
Rfam family: Bacterial small subunit ribosomal RNA
Source: RNAcentral